Molecule: ribosomal RNA, 253 nt
Filed under: uncultured bacterium
Lineage: Bacteria
Description: partial 16S ribosomal RNA
Rfam family: Bacterial small subunit ribosomal RNA
Source: RNAcentral
UACGUAGGGACCAAGCGUUGUUCGGAUUUACUGGGCGUAAAGGGCGCGUAGGCGGCAAUUCAAGUCAGUUGUGAAAUCUCCGAGCUUAACUCGGAAAGGUCAACUGAUACUGUGCGGCUAGAGUGCGGAAGGGGCAACUGGAAUUCUUGGUGUAGCGGUGAAAUGCGUAGAUAUCAAGAGGAACACCUGCGGCGAAGGCGGGUUGCUGGGCCGACACUGACGCUGAGGCGCGAAAGCUAGGGGAGCGAACGGG